This 253-nucleotide ribosomal RNA is filed under the name uncultured bacterium. Its description in RNAcentral is "partial 16S ribosomal RNA". It matches the Rfam family "Bacterial small subunit ribosomal RNA", at positions 524 to 776 of the family's 1533-position model. The record is from RNAcentral.
UACGUAGGGGGCAAGCGUUGUUCGGAAUUACUGGGCGUAAAGGGCGCGUAGGCGGCCGCCUAAGUCAGACGUGAAACCCCUCGGCUCAACCGGGGAACUGCGUCUGAUACUGGGUGGCUUGAAUCCGGGAGAGGGAUGCGGAAUUCCAGGUGUAGCGGUGAAAUGCGUAGAUAUCUGGAGGAACACCGGUGGCGAAGGCGGCAUCCUGGACCGGCAUUGACGCUGAGGCGCGAAAGCCAGGGGAGCAAACGGG